Molecule: transfer RNA, 90 nt
Filed under: Candidatus Pelagibacteraceae bacterium
Lineage: Bacteria; Pseudomonadati; Pseudomonadota; Alphaproteobacteria; Candidatus Pelagibacterales; Candidatus Pelagibacteraceae
Description: tRNA-Ser
Rfam family: tRNA
About the family: Transfer RNA (tRNA) molecules are approximately 80 nucleotides in length.
Source: RNAcentral
GGAGAGGUGGCCGAGUGGUUGAAGGCGCANGCUUGGAAAGNNUGUAAAGGGGNAACUCUUUCGCGGGUUCGAAUCCCGCUCUCUCCGCCA